RNAcentral lists this ribosomal RNA (229 nucleotides) under uncultured bacterium. RNAcentral describes it as "partial 16S ribosomal RNA". It matches the Rfam family "Bacterial small subunit ribosomal RNA", at positions 568 to 796 of the family's 1533-position model. The record is from RNAcentral.
UGCGUAGACGGAUUUAUAAGUCAGUGGUGAAAUCCUACAGCUUAACUGUAGAACUGCCAUUGAUACUGUAGAUCUUGAGUACGGUUGAGGUGGGCGGAAUGUGUCAUGUAGCGGUGAAAUGCUUAGAUAUGACACAGAACACCAAUUGCGAAGGCAGCUCGCUAAACCGUAACUGACGCUGAGGCACGAAAGCGUGGGGAGCGAACAGGAUUAGAUACCCUGGUAGUCC